This 544-nucleotide long non-coding RNA is filed under the name Phasianus colchicus (ring-necked pheasant). RNAcentral's name for it is "lncRNA (ENSPCLG00000007687.1)". The record is from RNAcentral. Lineage: Eukaryota; Metazoa; Chordata; Aves; Galliformes; Phasianidae.
GGGAGAGGGGGCAGGUGUGCGGGAGCGGGCGCUUGUGCGGUGCGAGGUACCGCCGACCGCGGAGCGAGGGCGUUUUGGGGUUCUUUUAACUACCCCCUUUAUUUUCCACCCUUUCACCUUCCGCACUCCGCCUCCCCUUUCCUCAUUUUAUCCCCGUUUCCCCGUCGUAUUGCAGGCUUUUAGAUGGAUCUGUCCUCUUUAAAUUGCUUUCUUUGAUGUCACGCAUUUUUCCCCCUUGCAGUAGCUUAUCGGAAGGUGCGCUGCAUUAAGCUAAAUCCGUGCCUGGUAUUACAUCAUGUGCCCUCAACCGAGUGCGGGAGAUGAUGGUCAUCUGAAAUCGAAGUGCUGGCUUCUUAGGUAUUGUUUUGGGAAUCAAACACUGAAUAAACUCAGGAAUAUUGAAAUCAAGCACCGUGGCUUCAGGAGAUGUUCAGCUGUCAAUAUAGAAAGAUUAAUUAAAUUUUUUCUGUGGAAGGAGAAAGGAGGGUCCCUGUGGUCAGUGCACCUUUUGGCUCUGGAGACAGCUAAAUCUGCUUAUGUUUGA